RNAcentral lists this small nuclear RNA (96 nucleotides) under Marmota marmota marmota (Alpine marmot). Lineage: Eukaryota; Metazoa; Chordata; Mammalia; Rodentia; Sciuridae. RNAcentral also lists the same sequence under 2 other names. The record is from RNAcentral.
GUAUUUAUUUAUGACAUAAAAUAAAAUUGGAACGAUACAGAGAAUAUUAGCUUGACCCCUGUGUACUUUAUUUGUUUACAUUUUUUUCAUAGUUUU